RNAcentral lists this long non-coding RNA (601 nucleotides) under Mus musculus (house mouse). RNAcentral describes it as "predicted gene 45911". The record is from RNAcentral. Lineage: Eukaryota; Metazoa; Chordata; Mammalia; Rodentia; Muridae.
UUUUCCUUUCUUUCUUCCUCCACCAAAGAGAAACUUAAAUAUUGAUGAUUAUGGAUGUCCUUAAUUAACGCAUCUUUGCUCAAAAAUAUUUUACAUGGUUUUACUUGACAUUUUAAAAUAACCCUAUGGCAGCAGCAUAGAAUAUUCAGGAACAAGUUUCUCCUGGAAGCUGGAGGUAUUCUGAUCAAGCAACUUCAGGGACCCUGGGACCUCCACAUCUACUUCCUGGUACAGACUCUGACUUUGCUGCUUGCUCAUUCCUCUCACUCUAUGGAGAUUUUUCAAUUUUUCAUUUUCUAUAUCGCAAAACAACAAUAAUAGUUAUGAAAACCUGCCUUCAUAGAGUCCACUGGGAAAAGGAAGGAGAUCAAGAUAUAGACCUCUCAGCUCCAUCUCCAGCACCAUGCCUGCCUGGAUGCUGGCAAGCUUCCCACCAUGAUGAUGAUGGACUACACCUUUGAAACUGUAAGGCAGCCCAAAUUAUAUGUUGAUCUUUAUAAGAGUUGACAAGGUCACAGUGUUUCUUCACAGCAAUGAAACCAUGACAAAGACAUCUGCUUAAUACACACUUCCAGCAGUCAAGUAUCACCUCACCGCAGAC